This is a small nucleolar RNA of Dendrobium catenatum, 95 nucleotides long. RefSeq annotates it as small nucleolar RNA snoR31. Lineage: Eukaryota; Viridiplantae; Streptophyta; Magnoliopsida; Asparagales; Orchidaceae. The record is from RefSeq and is a predicted model, not a curated record. The transcript has a single exon.
CGGAUGGUGAUGAACUAAUUUCAGCAUAAUCCAACACUUGAACUGAGGACCUUCAUGUCCAAGUGCUGAAUCCCUUCUAAUGCUUCUGAAUCCGA